Molecule: ribosomal RNA, 241 nt
Filed under: Cooperia surnabada
Lineage: Eukaryota; Metazoa; Nematoda; Chromadorea; Rhabditida; Trichostrongylidae
Source: RNAcentral
AACGAUAUACUACAGUGUGGCUAACGUUUUAACACUGUUUGUCUAAUGGCAUUUGUCUACAUCUGUUUUGACAAAUCCCGUUAUAGUUCAAGAAUAACAUAUGCAACAUAAUGUUCRUAUAGUAAUAUGAACAUUUCUGAAUGAUAUCAAUCUAUUAUCACUGUUUAAAUGUACUCAAUGAAUAUGAGAUUGAUUUAAACAGGGACAUGUUGGAGAUAGUAGUAUUCGUUAUCAUUUGUAU